Molecule: ribosomal RNA, 468 nt
Filed under: uncultured bacterium
Lineage: Bacteria
Description: partial 16S ribosomal RNA
Rfam family: Bacterial small subunit ribosomal RNA
Source: RNAcentral
GACGAACGCUGGCGGCGUGCUUAACACAUGCAAGUCGAACGGGACGAUCCGGCCUUUGUGCGCUCCUGUAGUUGCCAACGGGUGACUUACACGUGAGUUACCUGUCCUUGACUUUAGGGGAUCUUCAUGAAACUUGAUCUAAUCGCGCCUAGGAGCUCCCGCUUCUUGGUGGGGGUGGGUUAGAUUCGGUGGUUGGUGAUGUACUCGCGUCUCAUCAGGUUGUUGGUGGGGUAGUGGCUUACCAAGGUUUUGCCGCGUAGCCGUCCUGAGAGGGUGACCGGCCACAUUGCGACUGAGAUAAGGCACAGACUCCUCCGGGAGGGAGGAGAGGGGAGUAUUGCACAAUGGGCGGAAGGCUGAUGCAGCAACGCAGCGUGCGGGAUGACGGCCUUCGCGUUGUAAACCGCUUUCGCCUGUGACGAGGCGUGAGUGACGGUAAUGGGUAAAGAAGCACCGGCUAACUACGUG